Molecule: long non-coding RNA, 134 nt
Organism: Gopherus evgoodei (Goodes thornscrub tortoise)
Lineage: Eukaryota; Metazoa; Chordata; Testudines; Testudinidae
Exons: 3
Source: RefSeq, a predicted model, not a curated record
CACGGAAUUUGAAUCUGUAUUCUCUCUGGGAGGAGGAAAGGGAAACCUGCUCUCAGCGUUUAUCUGUGUAUCCCUCUCUGGGGAAGAAGGGAGGGGGGAGUGGUGAUUCAAGGAGUUGAAUCAGAUGAUCUCCU